This is a long non-coding RNA of Syngnathoides biaculeatus (alligator pipefish), 429 nucleotides long. RefSeq lists it as uncharacterized. The record is from RefSeq and is a predicted model, not a curated record. The transcript is spliced from 2 exons. Lineage: Eukaryota; Metazoa; Chordata; Actinopteri; Syngnathiformes; Syngnathidae.
AUAACAAUUACUUAAAAAAAAAAAAAAAAAAUCAUUUUUAAGACGGUGUCCAAGACAAACUUGAAAUGAAGCUCAUUUUCGUCUUUUAUUUAACAUUUCAACAACUUCGUAGCUUGCUAGCUUGGACCCAAAGCAGCUAGCAAAAAAAAAAAAAAAAAAAAAAAGACGAGAGUUCGUCUACAAAUACUGCGCACCUCUGGUGGGACAGCACAGGAACGGACAGGGCUUCGACUACAACGGAGGGACAGGAACGGACACGGCUUUGACUAAGACGAAGGGACAGGACAGGAAAGGACACGGCUUUGACUCCAACUUACUACUAAAUUUCUUUUACUUACAUCUUUCCUGGAGAUGCCAAAAUGCAAAUAAGCAGUUCAUACAACAAAAAUGUAUCUUUAUAAAAUUAUUAAAACAAAUGAGAAGAGAAUA